UGCCCACUGAUUAAUUGAAUUAAAGGGCUGCAGUAUUUUGACUGUACAAAGGUAGCAUAAUAAAUAGUCAUUUAAUUGAUGGCUUGUAUGAAGGAUUGGAUGAGAUAUAGACUGUCUUGAAAGUAAAUUUAAAAUUUAAUUUUUUAGUUAAAAAGCUAAAAUAAAUUAAAAAGACGAGAAGACCCUAUAGAGUUUAAUUAAGUAUUUUAUUUAUGGAAAAUUUAUUUAUAAAUUAUUAAAUUUGAUUUUAAUUUUGUUGGGGUGAUAGAAAAAUUUAAUUAACUUUUUAUUUAAAAAUUACAUUAAUAAAUGAUUUAUUUGAUCCAAUUUUAUUGAUUAUAAGAGAAAAUUACCUUAGGGAUAACAGCGUAAUUUUUUUUUUUAGUUCGUAUAAAAAAAAAAGUUUGCGACCUCGAUGUUGGAUUAAGAUAAAAUUUAAAUGUAGAAGUUUAAAGGUUUGA
This 461-nucleotide ribosomal RNA is filed under the name Arna bicostata. RNAcentral's name for it is "partial large subunit ribosomal RNA". Lineage: Eukaryota; Metazoa; Arthropoda; Insecta; Lepidoptera; Erebidae. The record is from RNAcentral.